RNAcentral lists this ribosomal RNA (504 nucleotides) under uncultured bacterium. RNAcentral describes it as "partial 16S ribosomal RNA". It matches the Rfam family "Bacterial small subunit ribosomal RNA", at positions 30 to 523 of the family's 1533-position model. The record is from RNAcentral.
AUUGAACGCUGGCGGCAGGCCUAAAACAUGCAAGUCGAGCGGUAACAGGGGAAGCUUGCUUCUCGCUGACGAGCGGCGGACGGGUGAGUAAUGUAUGGGGAUCUGCCCGAUAGAGGGGGAUAACUACUGGAAACGGUGGCUAAUACCGCAUAAUCUCUUAGGAGCAAAGCAGGGGAACUUCGGUCCUUGCGCUAUCGGAUGAACCCAUAUGGGAUUAGCUAGUAGGUGAGGUAAUGGCUAACCUAGGCGACGAUCCCUAGCUGGUCUGAGAGGAUGAUCAGCCACACUGGGACUGAUACACGGCCGAGGCUCCUACGGGAGGCAGCAGUGGGGAAUAUUGCACAUGGGGCGCAAGCCUGAUGCAGCCAUGACGCGUGUAUGAAGAAGGCCCUAGGGUUGUAAAGUACUUUCAGUUGGGAGGAAGGCGUUGAUGCUAAUAUCAUCAACGAUUGACGUUACCAGCAGAAGAAGCACCGGCUAACUCCGUGCCAGCCGCCGCAGUAA